GNGCAGCAGGCGCGAAUACUCCGCAAUGCGGGCAACCGCGACGGGGCUACCCCGAGUGCCGGGCGAAGAGCCCGGCUUUUGCCCGGUCUAAAAAGCCGGGAGAAUAAGCGGGGGGCAAGUCUGGUGUCAGCCGCCGCGGUAAUACCAGCUCCGCGAGUGGUCGGGGUGCUUACUGGGCUUAAAGCGCCCGUAGCCGGCCCGGCAAGUCGCUCCUGAAAUCCCAGGGCUCAACCCUGGGGCGGGGGGCGAUACUGCCGGGCUAGGGGGCGGAAGAGGCCGCCGGUACUCCGGGGGUAGGGGCGAAAUCCGUUAAUCCCCGGAGGACCACCAGUGGCGAAAGCGGGCGGCCAGAACGCGCCCGACGGUGAGGGGCGAAAGCCGGGGGAGCAAAGGGGAUUAGAUACCCCUGUAGUCCCGGCCGUAAACGAUGCGGGCUAGCUGUCGGCUGGGCUUANGGCCCGGCCGGUGGCGAAAGGAACCGUUAAGCCCGCCGCCUGGGGAGUACGGCCGCAAGGCUGAAACUUAAAGGAAUUGGCGGGGGAGCAC
RNAcentral lists this ribosomal RNA (546 nucleotides) under uncultured prokaryote. RNAcentral describes it as "bacterial SSU rRNA". It matches the Rfam family "Archaeal small subunit ribosomal RNA", at positions 330 to 879 of the family's 1478-position model. The record is from RNAcentral.